RNAcentral lists this ribosomal RNA (607 nucleotides) under Saccharomyces cerevisiae (brewer's yeast). RNAcentral's name for it is "eukaryotic LSU rRNA". It matches the Rfam family "Eukaryotic large subunit ribosomal RNA", at positions 44 to 667 of the family's 3401-position model. The record is from RNAcentral. Lineage: Eukaryota; Fungi; Ascomycota; Saccharomycetes; Saccharomycetales; Saccharomycetaceae.
CAAUAGCGGAGGAAAAGAAACCAACCGGGAUUGCCUUAGUAACGGCGAGUGAAGCGGCAAAAGCUCAAAUUUGAAAUCUGGUACCUUCGGUGCCCGAGUUGUAAUUUGGAGAGGGCAACUUUGGGGCCGUUCCUUGUCUAUGUUCCUUGGAACAGGACGUCAUAGAGGGUGAGAAUCCCGUGUGGCGAGGAGUGCGGUUCUUUGUAAAGUGCCUUCGAAGAGUCGAGUUGUUUGGGAAUGCAGCUCUAAGUGGGUGGUAAAUUCCAUCUAAAGCUAAAUAUUGGCGAGAGACCGAUAGCGAACAAGUACAGUGAUGGAAAGAUGAAAAGAACUUUGAAAAGAGAGUGAAAAAGUACGUGAAAUUGUUGAAAGGGAAGGGCAUUUGAUCAGACAUGGUGUUUUGUGCCCUCUGCUCCUUGUGGGUAGGGGAAUCUCGCAUUUCACUGGGCCAGCAUCAGUUUUGGUGGCAGGAUAAAUCCAUAGGAAUGUAGCUUGCCUCGGUAAGUAUUAUAGCCUGUGGGAAUACUGCCAGCUGGGACUGAGGACUGCGACGUAAGUCAAGGAUGCUGGCAUAAUGGGUAUAUGCCGCCCGUCUUGAACACGGACC